RNAcentral lists this transfer RNA (72 nucleotides) under Steinernema carpocapsae. It matches the Rfam family "tRNA". From Rfam's summary of the family: Transfer RNA (tRNA) molecules are approximately 80 nucleotides in length. Their secondary structure includes four short double-helical elements and three loops (D, anti-codon, and T loops). Further hydrogen bonds mediate the characteristic L-shaped molecular structure. tRNAs have two regions of fundamental functional importance: the anti-codon, which is responsible for specific mRNA codon recognition, and the 3' end, to which the tRNAs corresponding amino acid is attached (by aminoacyl-tRNA synthetases). tRNAs cope with the degeneracy of the genetic code in two manners: having more than one tRNA (with a specific anti-codon) for a particular amino acid; and 'wobble' base-pairing, i.e. permitting non-standard base-pairing at the 3rd anti-codon position. Lineage: Eukaryota; Metazoa; Nematoda; Chromadorea; Rhabditida; Steinernematidae. The record is from Rfam by way of RNAcentral. RNAcentral also lists the same sequence under 1 other name.
UCCCAUGUGGUCUAGUGGUUAAGAUUCGUGGCUUUCACCCACGCGGCCCGGGUUCGAUUCCCGGCAUGGGAA